AUUGAACGCUGGCGGCAUGCCUUACACAUGCAAGUCGAACGGCAGCACGGGUGCUUGCACCUGGUGGCGAGUGGCGAACGGGUGAGUAAUACAUCGGAACAUGUCCUGUAGUGGGGGAUAGCCCGGCGAAAGCCGGAUUAAUACCGCAUACGAUCUACGGAUGAAAGCGGGGGACCUUCGGGCCUCGCGCUAUAGGGUUGGCCGAUGGCUGAUUAGCUAGUUGGUGGGGUAAAGGCCUACCAAGGCGACGAUCAGUAGCUGGUCUGAGAGGACGACCAGCCCAACGGGGACUGAGAAAGGGCCAAGACCCCAAGGGGGGGAAGGAGGGGGAAAUUUUGGAAAAGGGGGGAAAGCCUGACCCAGAAAUGCCGGGGGUGUGAAGAAGGCCUUCGGGUUGAAAAGCAUUUUUGUCCGGAAAAAAAUCCUUGGCCCUAAUACGGCCGGGGGAGGCGGGUACCGGAAAAAAAAGCACCGGAUAACUAAGU
Molecule: ribosomal RNA, 485 nt
Filed under: uncultured bacterium
Lineage: Bacteria
Description: partial 16S ribosomal RNA
Rfam family: Bacterial small subunit ribosomal RNA
Source: RNAcentral